RNAcentral lists this long non-coding RNA (39542 nucleotides) under Medicago truncatula (barrel medic). Its description in RNAcentral is "long non-coding RNA (MTRU_LNC001454)". The stretch from base 6178 to 6251 matches the Rfam family "MIR5272 microRNA precursor family". Lineage: Eukaryota; Viridiplantae; Streptophyta; Magnoliopsida; Fabales; Fabaceae. The record is from RNAcentral.
AAAAGAAAGACAAAGACACAAGCAGUUAUCCUGGUUCCUUCCACAACACGGAAGUAGUCCAGUCCCCCUUGCACUUCCAAGGAGAUUUCACUAUAAUCACAAAGAUUACAACUGCUCAAUACUUUCUAAGUAUGAGACUUCACAAAAAUGCUCAAGCACACACGCAAGAGUCUUCCAAUGCUCAAGCACUAAGCAAGAGACUUCUAAUGCUCAAGCACACAGGCAAGAGACUUCUAAUCAAACAAAAAUACAGAGAAUUGAGUUUGAGUUGAACACUUGAUAUACAAUCAGUGGUGUUCACAAUACAAUACAGUAAAGACUCUAGACUUUGAAUUUCUAAGAUGUAUCAAAUCAGUGCAGAAAUUCAGUGUGCUUUGUAGAAUCAAAUUGACAGAGUUUUGGCGCUUUUGAACUUAUGUAUUUCUGUAUCAUCUUCAAGUCUUCACUCCUUUAUAUAGAGGCGUGAAAGAGACGUUGAGAUAAUCAGCACGUCUAAAGAGUCGUUUGAAAUCCUUUGAUUAUCCACCAGUGAUCCUUUGCCUGAUUUGGGUGUGGUCAUUUGAAGAAUAAGCUUCAAAUUCAUUCCCAUCUUGAGUGUACAUAUUCUGCAGGCAUGGCUGUUGUUUUGUCUUGUAGCGUAGACAGAAAACAGAGUAGUGGAGGUAGUGGUUGUACACUUGUACUUUGUCAACUCUAUUAACGAGAGACAAGUGCUCAGUGCUAUCCAUAUAUCCGUUGAUACCUCCCUUUCAAUUCUUCGUUCUUCUUGGAUAAGACUGAAUUGAGAAUCAGCUACUUUGAAUCUUCAGUUUGAUUAAAGGAUCAAACGUAGCUUCUGGUGAAGAUAUUGCUUUUGAUAAAAACUUUUGCUUCUGAUGACCUUCUGCUUCUGAUGACGUCAUCACUUCAGAAGCACUUCAGCUUCAGGAGCAGUUUUCUUCAGAUGCUCAGAAUUUCUUUUUCUUUCCAUUGUUCUUCCAAGACCUAUUGAAAUAACUUGAGUAGCCUUUGAUCCUGUACACUUGAACAAUUAUUAGUAAUAACCAAUUGACAAUUUUUAAUACCUUGUUAUCAUCAAAACUUAAUAAGGUUCAUUGUGAAACACAUUUUGUUCCAACACACUUCCCUAGCGGACUAUGAUAUUUAAGCAUCCCUUUUUUUCUACAAUUAUUCAAACACCAAAUCAUUUUAUUCUUAUCUCUAUCUUUCUAGAGUAAUGAUAUUUUGAUAACCAUUUUGGUACAACUUUUGAGACAACUUUGUUGUUCUUUCUUCUCAUUGGUUAAAAACAAUAGAAAGAGAAAAAGGAAGAGAGAGAAUAAAAACAUAAUGUGAGUAUGAGAGAUAAAGUUAUAGAAAAGUUGUACCAAAAUAGUUGUACAAAUAUCAUUUCUCAUCUUUCUAUCAUAUGAUCAAUCUAUCACGUUACACAUUUUUUCUCCUUUUCUAUUUAUUUCAAGGUGUAUACAUCCAAAUGUGUAGACCGAACAUUUUCCCUAACUAACAUUUUCCAGGUUUAAAUGAGGGUCAGAUUGGAAUUAAAUGAAUCUAUCUACCAUAGUACGUACCAAGUACCAACACAUAUAUUGCUUUAAAUAAUUGUUGAAGAGAAAUGAUAUUUGAACAUUCAUUUGGUGACAACUUUCUCUCUCAUACUCACAUCAUUUUUACUUUAUCUCAUUAUUGUUUUGGUUUCCGUACAAAUACUUACUUUUUCUUUGUAAAUUAUAGUUGUCGCAUAAGUUGUCAACUAAAUUAGUUGUUCAAAUAACACUUUUAAAUUGUUGAAACAUACCACUACUCUUGUACUUGUACUCAGUUUGAAACUAAACAACAAACUGGUCACUAAAUUCCUAGAAGUGUUGUUCUAACAAUGAGUGCUUCUCACAAAGAAUAAUUUGUUAUUUUAAUCCUUUGGAUCGGUUUUAAAAAUAUAUUGCCUCCUUGAUCCACCCAAUAUUCUGAAAAUCACUAAUACUCCUUUUCUUUUCAUCCCUAACAUAACUUCUAAAUCGAAAGAGUAAAUUACACUCCACUCCUUUCAGAGAUGUUUGAAUUACACUCCCCUCCUCUCUUAUGUUAAAAUAUACACUCCCUUCCCUUAAAAAAUAAAAUUAAUACUCCCCUCCCCUAUAAGAUGCUUGAAUUACAACCUCCUCCCUUAAUAAUUAAAUAUGGACUACACUUUAAUCUAUUUUAACAUAAAGUAAUAUUUUUAUAAUAUAUAUUAAUUUUGAAUCACCAUUUAAAAAAUAUAAAUUCGUUUAUUUAUAAUCUAAAUGUCAAUGACAAUUAAAUUUAAAUUUUGUGUUAUUAAUUUUAUAAUUUAGAGUAUAAAAUUCACUUUUAAAUAACCAUACUUAAUCGAUUUUAGUACUUUUUCACAUAUUUUAAUUUUAUUUUGGGUUGUUUCAUAUUUUAUAAUAGGGUUUAAAACUAUAUGUUAAUGAAAUUGUGAAUAAAAAUAGAGAAAGAUAUGUAUUCAAAAUUUGAUUAUAUUAAAAUAAACCCGCAUGCUAUUUUUCUUUGAAGUGUGGUAGAUUAUUUUUUUGCUAGAUUAUUAGAAGAAAAAAAAUUGAGGGACUAAAGCGUAGAUUUUAACUUAAGAGGGGAGGGGAAUGUAAUUCAAGCUUCUCUCAAGGGAGGGGAGUGAAAUAUUUUCUAAUAUGUUUUGAAUAAGAGGGGAGGGGAGUGUAUAUUUUAACAUAAGAAGAGAGGGGAGUGUGAUUCAAGCAUCUUUGAGGGGAGGGGAGUGUAAUUUACUCAAAUUGAAAACCAUCUCAUAUACUACCAAAAACAGAUUUGCGCCGCGCCGCAAUUCACUCCUUCAUGUAUUUUAUCAAGAAAUUAAGGUAUGUAUACGUAAGUUGAAACAAGUUAUUAUCUUCUCAAAAGUGAUUUGUCAUUUCUUAAACAUACUUCUCUCUUUAUACCAAAAAUAUUUUAUUUGUACCAAAAAAAAAAAAAAUACUUCUCUCUUGUGGAUGCAGAAUCUCACUAUGACACCAUUUGAGAUGUGCUAUGGCUGUCAAGGCGGCUCGGCGACACGAUUGUGGAGCUGCCUUUGGGCAUGGGUGGAACUGGAAAAUAGGUAAUAAAACCAGUGAGAGGUUUAUAUUUGCAUUUUUCUUUUCUACUUGCUCUUGCUUUUCUGUUCUUCUUUUAUUAUCUAUCAAUAUAUUUUAAUUAUUAUUUAAGACGUGCACUAACAGGCUUGUCUAUCCAUUUUUUUUUUUUGUCAUGUAAUUUAUUAGUUAAAAAUUCACCCUUAAUAUAAAUAAGUGGAUUAUCUAAAAUUCAAACUUUGAUUCCUACAUAUAGUGUUUAAUUGCUUUUUCACUCACAAAAUAACUUUCGUUAAUAAUUCGUGAGUGCUAUGUUAGCUGGAUUUAGCAUUUUUCUAAAAACAAUAAAUAUUUUGUUUAAAUAACAAAUCUUUUGUGACUUUUAUGGAUGUGUUUUGAAAAAUCUGGAACCCAAAUCCGUUGUAGGGAUCACAUUUGAAGUAUCAUAUGUCAAAAUCACGUUAAAAGGAGGGUAAAAGUUAAAAAAAAUUAAAAGAUAACUAACUUGGCUCAUCGGUACAUAUAUAUGUGUGAUUUUUUUUUCUUUAUCAUUUAAAAAGUGUAACAAAUUAGAUAAAUAUAUUUAUAAAGAUUGUUGUUGGUGUCAUUAAAAAAAAAAAUUAGAUUAUAUUUUUUGUUAUAUUGUUGGUAUCAUUUAAAUAGAUAAUCAUGGUUUAGUUUGCUCUAACUUGAAAGCAACAAACAUUUAUAUUUUUAGUUUUAAUCAAAAUCGAAACUUCAUAAAAAAGCACCGUUAAUAAUUUUCAAAUGUUAUUGCAGUAAAAAGAGCGGAAAGACGGACAUAUGACAAAUUCUACUAUGCUUUCUUCAAAUAAAUAGCUAUAUCUUUCAAUUUGAGUCUCAUCAUCACAUCAUCACUUGACAGCAUUGCUUCCAUGCUCUCAUCUGCAUCCUUAGACUGAACAUCUUCCAAGACAUGGUUACAAUCCUCAACAAUAUCAACAUUUGGAGGUGAACUUGAAUGAGCAUCUACAUCAAUAUUUUCCUCAGCAUUCAAACCAUCUUCACCAGAAUUUUCAAAGAGCAUAAAACCAGAAGGAACAUCACCACCAUCAACAAUAUCAUCUGUCUUCCUAGUAGAUUCUUUUGCAAUAACAUUACUUGUUUUAGUGCCGAGUCCUUGGCUGAUGCCAUGGACCUAUAAAGAGAUAUAAAGAGUUAGCUACAUUCGACAUCAAAUUCAAGGAUACAAGAACGCUGCAAGAUUUUGUUUAUGUUAUCUCAUAAAUAAAAUAGAGUUAUCAUGAUAUAAACCUUAGGAGGGAGUUAAAUAUGACUGGCAACUCCAUGGCAUUUAAAGUGUAAAUUACCUGGAGUUACGUGUGUAGUGCAUGUAAUGUAUAUAUAAUAAAAACAGACUAUUUAUGUUUAUGCCUUGCUACAACUAUAAAAUAUACUGUGAAUUGUGUAUAUAAAAAACUGAGUAAUUAUGUUUGUGCUUACAACUAUAUGCUACUAUGUAAUAUAAUACUAAGAGUGUUGUUUUUUUUUUCUUCUUAUAAUAAGGAUCGGAGGAAGUAGUAUUUCUUCGAAUCUUAAGUCAAAAUACCACUUACACAUACAUGCAUAUGCAUAAAAAGUAGCAUAUAUAAGAAAAUUCGCAUGUUAAGUCAAAAUAUUAAAACUAACCUUAAAUUAAAAAUUCAUAAAUAUAACUCAAUUCUCUAAAAGCAAAUAAGUUUAAUAACAUCGGUUGCACCACCAAAAACUUAGACAACUCAAGUGAAAGUGUUCACACCUAACCUCAUCGAAAUUAUUAUUUUAGGUAGACCUUACACACCACUUUAGUGUAAAAGAGCAUCUGAAUAAGGUCUACCGUAACAAGUAUAAUCUUCUUUUUACCAAAAAUAAAUAAGAACUACUGUAAUAUACUAAUACUAAUAUGUUAACAUACAUGCAACAAUAUAAUAGAAGUGAUCCAAUUAAAAUAUCCAAUCAUUUAUAAUUGAAAUAAACAUCAAAAGAGAUAUUAAAACUAAAAUACGAUAUCAGAUAUAUCAUCUAGUAUUUGGUACACAUAUAUCAAUCCAGAGAUUACGGAAUUUAACAACGAAAAAGUUUUUUAUAAUAGUCAUUUAAACAAAUUUAUUAACUAUCAUCUAAGUAAAAUUGGCUGAACAGGAUGACAAAAAGUGAGAGAGAAGACAUAAGAAAUGUUAAGGUGUUGUUACUCCCAUAAUAGUAUAUGUGGUAACUUUUGAUCUAGUGGUAUAUAUUACUCAUGCACGGUGAGAGACAUAAGAUGGUCUCCCACCGUAGCAUCCGCGGGGAAGGAGUCAUAAUAACUCAACAUGUUUUUGUAGUAAAUUAUGCCCUUUAGGGUUGUAUUUUAGGGGGGGUGUUAAUUGUUAUGGGCUGAAACAUGAUCACUAAUGUUUUUAACAUUAGUAAUUUUUGAUAUUAUUUGCAAACAAAAGAAGUAUUAAUAUAAAAAAAAUGGAGAGGAUGAAAGGACAUAGCACAUGAUGAAAACAGAGUGAAGGAAAGGAAUUUGUUAUAUAAGUUUUCAUGAUUAAAAAUUGUUUUUUUUUAAGGAGUGAUUUAAAAAUGUUAAAAGUGGUUAUGGAAUUAGGGUUUGAUAAUUCAAGAUCAAUAAUUUAUUGAUCUUGUGUGGUUUUGAUGACAGAGUAUCAUAUGACAUUAUGAAUAUGUCUUUUAGUAUUUUUCUUUGUAUUUGAAGAGAAAUAAGAUGUGAGAUAAAGGAGUUGUUAAUGGUUUGAGGAACAUAUUGUAUUGUUUUCACUCAAUUCGUAAUUCAGUUUUAUCCUAUAUCAUUGAUAAACUUUUAACAAGUAUACUUAAAAAUGCAUCGAAGUGAUAAAAAAAAUCGUCUCCACAAGAAUUGUUUCAAUUUCAACUCGUCAAUUUAAUUGUAAUAAGGAUUUAACAAAUGGAGGAUAUGUAGAGAAUAUAUCUAAUUUGCCCCGCAACUCACUCCAUCAUGUAUUUUUUAUAUCCUUUCAUAAUAACUUUAUUAUUUCAUUGAAACUAUAUUACUAUAACCUUAUUUUGUAGAAACUAUAUUAGUGUGUGUUUUGUUUGGCGGUGGAGAAAAUUGAUUUUGAGAGAAUUGAUUUUGGUUAAAAGUGAGUUUGAUGUGAAUUGAUUUAUGUUUGGGUACCCUCACUUAAAAGUGAUUCUUAUGAGUUGAUGUUGUUUGGAUAGGUUGAAUCAAAAUUAAUUUUAAAUGUGUAAUGACCUAAUUAUCCUUUUAAUUGUAUUUAAAAUUAUAUAUCUCAUUCCCAUUUUAGAUAAUUAUUUAAACUUAUGUCCAAUAAUUAAAUUUAAUAUAAUUACAUAUAAUUAGCAAAAAAUUAUUACGUUAAUUUUAUUGUUUUACAAAUUCGUUUUAAAAUAAUAUAAUUUAUAAGUUCAUUUUAGUAUAAUAUAAGCAUAUAAGUGUAUUUUAUAUACUGCAUUUUGUCAAAAAUAGUUAAUAUAUUGCACAAAAGAAAGGAUAAACUUAUUAUUAUAAUAUUGUAAAAGAAAGUUACCACCAUAACAAUUAGGACAACUCGGUGAGUGACUCACCAACUCACCAUCAAAAACAGAAUGAGAUACCACUGUAAAAUUGCAAAAAUGAUAUGAAUUACCAUUAGAAACGUGCAAUUUCUACUCUGUAAGCAAUGAUUUCGACCAAAAACUCUCCAUUCCUUGCUAUCUUGUUCGACUUCUUCCUUUUGAAAAACAAGGUUGAACCAUGGCAGACGCUAAUAAAGGGUAUUGAUGGAAGAUUGCCUUGAAAAACAAAACUAAAACUUAGAAUCGAUUUAGGCAACCGCAGAAGCUCCAAAUCGUAGCUUCCAGUCUAUCGUGAUUUUGAAGGUGGAAUCGAUUUAGAGGAAUAUAAGCCAAACAUGAAAGUUUACGGUCAAACCAUGUUUGACCACUACGAACGCGCGUCUAGAGUGUUCUACCGCGGAUCCAAACAACCACUUACUAUGUUCACCUUAAAAUCAGUGACACCAACCUUUGUUUUCAUCCCCAACUUCACAAUCUCAACAAAACCUUUUUAUAUACGAAAACAGUAACAAAAAGCAGUAGCAUUCCACGGUCUGGUUGGGGUUUUUCUUUCUUUGUUAGUCCCCUUUUUUAUUUCCAAGUUUAAAAACAUAUGUAAACGUAAGUUGAGACAAGUUAUUAUCUUCUUAAACGUGAUUUGUCGUCUUUUGAAACAUACUUCUGUUUUGUUGGUGCAGAAACUCACCAUUUGAAGUGUGUUAUGACUGUCGAGGUGGCUCAGCGACACGAUUGUGGAGCUGCCUCUGGACAUGGGUGGAAUUGUAAAUUAGGUAAUGCCAUAAUGAUUUUUGUUGGGUGGCUAGGUGACCGUCCAGGCUAGAGCAACCGCACAAGUAAGAGAGACGCCACACUCUUACCCAAAACCUUAAGGCAAUGGGUUUAUGAGUCCUCUUACUUAUAAGGUGUUCAACCUUAACUAUUUUAUCCGAUAUGAGACAUAUAACUCACACUUGCACACAACAACAACUUUUGUAUUUUACUUGCUCUUGCUUUUUCUUCUUUGCUUACUAUCUAUGUUUAUAUUUUGUCUAUUGCUUAUAUAGAAAAUAUCUGGUUGGUCUUGCUUAUAUAGAAUACUGGUUGGUCACAAUCUAAAAUAAAAAGUAUUUAAGCGCACAUGCAUAAAAUUGCAUAUCAUUUAAUUAUUGUAAAAAAUACUUUUUAUCUUUCUUUUAGCUGUUCAAUUUUUUGAAUUUAUGCUUAAAUAUUGUGUUCAAAUUUUGUGAGUGCACGAUUUCUCCCUCUUUUUAGCGAUAAAUCGUACGGUUCACCUUUUUAGUGUAUACGAAUAGUAAAAUUAGCGGGGUUACUAGUAAAAUACAUGCUAAUUCAUACACUAUAAUUCCUUUCUAUUUUCCCAAUUUUCAACGCACAAAUUUUUUUAUAAAUAAUGAAUAAGUUGGUUUUUAAAAAAGAGUGCAAUCUACAAGCUAUUUUAUAUAAAGAGAACAGAACACACAAUUCCCGUGUAAUUGAGCUUGCAACUUGUAAUAUACAAUAAUCAUACCAAUAUAACUUAGACAUGUGGAGCAAAGGAAGUAAUAAUCAAUGAGCAAUGCAGCCUCAAGCAACAACAACAAACGGAUCUAGAUUUAAGUGUGAAGCAACACCACAAACAUAAUCAAAGCAACACAGAUAAAAAAACAAGAGAAAGAAAAAAACAAAUCAAUAUUGUUUAUCCAGUUCAGUCCAAAAUAACCUAAUUAUAAGCAACUCUCCAAUCCACUAUGAUAAGAAUGAUAAAAAGAGGUUACAAGAAAUUAGCUAAAAAACUCAUAAAGAACAAACCCUAAUUAUAAUUUCUACCCAAUUUCAAGUCACCCACACUCACAAUGAAUCCAAAAAAAAAAAAAAUCUCAACAAAAACACUUAACUCUAAAGUUUCCUCCUUUAGUUUUCCAAAUUUCUCUCCCUUAAAGAUCUCUCAAAAAAUGAAGAAUGAAGUCUAGAAUCAAGAGAAAUUGUGCCACAAUUGACACCCAUUGUGCCACUAUUGCAGUUGUACACGAGUACAAUACUACAUUUUAUCCGUAACCGUGCCACGAUGUCUUUCCUUCAAGGCACGGUAUAUGAACACCACUAUGCACAAUAUUAAAAUGCAACAAAGUAUAUGAGAAAGAUUGAUAAAAUGAUAACUUUAUUUGUUUUCUAAGAGGACAGUAGUGAUAAAAGAAAUCCUUCCGAACAGAGCUUAAAAUAGGAGCGCCAAGAUGUCCUUAGUGGUGUUGCCGUAAUUAUUUGGAUAUAUAGACAAUGUUGGAUGGCGAAGAGUUUGUAGUGGUUGGUCUUGUUCUAAUUAGAUGUUGAAGAGUUUUUACCGAUUGCUCUUAUGCUAAUAUGAAGCAUUAUCCACUAGUUUUCCCCAAUCCUCAAGAUCUUGAUUAUGUAUUCUUGCUAAGGAAAGUCACUUUAUGCACUUACAAAAACCUCGUGCUUGGUAAUUGGUAUUAGUGAUUUACCACUAAGGUAAUGAUAUAUCCUUCUCUAUGUGGAUGAUAUAAUUCUUGUUGCGUCCUUAUAUUCCCUUCGUCAAUCCAUCAUAAAUUGUAACUAAACUCCUCUCUGAAUUUUCUAUGAAGGAUUUGGGUCCUCUUAGUUACUUUCUCAGUAUAUUUCUUAAUAGACACACAUGAAAUCUUUUUCUAUCAUGAAAAAAAUAUGACAAGGAAAUUAUUGAGCGCGCGGCUAUACCUACUUGCAAACCAUUUGCUACACACAAACCAACUAAGUGGCUCUUAUGGAAAUCCAUAUCAUGCUCCAACUAAAUAUUGUAGUCAUGUUGGGGCUUUGUAAUACUUGACUUUUACAAGACAAGAUACUCUUAUGUCAUGCAGCAAGUGUGUUUGUUUAUAUGCAUGACCUUAAAACACAACAUAUGUGUUUAUUUAAGAAAUUUUCGUGGUACUUUUGAUUUCGAUAUGCAUUUAUAUCCUUCCUCCAUUGAUGAGCUCGUCACAUACAAUAAUGUAGACUUUGAUAGAUGUACAAACACUAUAUGGCCUAUGUUAGGGACGGGUAUCGUGUAGGGACAACCUCAUCUCUAGACUCACCAAACAACAACCUACAUUUUCUCGAUCCAUUGCUGAAGUUAAAUAUCGUGCAGUCGGUAAUGUAUUAUCUUGGUCAAAUUUUCUUAGGAAUCAUCUUUUGGAACCAUAUUGUCAUAUCUUAAAGGUCACAUUAGUCUAUUGUGAUAAUGUAAGCACUUUGUGUAUCUCCCGUGAUCUCGUUCAACAUCAAUGCAUUAAGCACAUUGAGAUGAAUAUUAAUUUUGUGCUUGAGAAUGUUACUCAUGGUCAAGUUUGUGUGUUACAUGUUCCUUCAUAUUACCAAUAGAGGCCAUCUUCAAUAAGGGUCUUCCAUGACAACUCUUUGAUAACUUUUGACAUUGUCAAUGAUAAUGGCCUAAUAAACUCAAGCUUGGGAAAGAGCUCAGAGGGAGUAUGUCAAAUACCUUUUUCAGUGAUGCUAGAAUCCUACUGCAUUUUCAAUGAUAAUGUAUUAACCAUAUGCAAUAGCAGCAACAAACUGUCUCCAACACUGUCAACAAUUUUCACCUGAUCAUAUAAUUUAUAAAAUUCAAUUAGUUUCCACUCAAGAGUUAUCACAAAAAUUUAAUGGUUGUUAAAAGAAAUCUCCAGCAUAAAUUUAAUAGACAUUAUGGCAAGAAAGACAAAGAAUACUUUUUCUUUUUGUGUUAACACUCCGGUUCUCAUGGGAAAGGAGUUUUAGUUAUCCGAAGUUUGAUCAGGGUGCAAGUAAAUUGUAACCAUAAACUAUUCCACCGAGGAAUUAUACUCAGUUCUCUAACAAUUUUUCAUUGCUAAAGCGCAUUGUUCAUUAAUCUCACUUGAUUAUUCCAUUGAUAUUAGGAUUUUCGAAAUGGAAGUAUAACUCACACAAAUCCAAAGAUAUUUAAUUUCAGUCCAUUGUUCAGAAGGAUAUUAUGUUUUAAUUGCAUGCGUAUUAUUUAUUUAUUUUUUUGUCAAGUAGUUUAGUGGUUAAAGCUCACAUAAUUUAAUUGUGGAGAAGUGGAGUGUCCGGGGUUCGAACCCCGACUCCUGCAUAUAAUAUGCAAUAUCCCUACCAACUGAACUAAGCUCACGGGGAUUUUUGCAUGCCUAUUAUUAAUUCACCCUAAACCGGAAUUUAGCCAUUAAACCAAGAACACUUUUAUCUUUUUACUAUUCCUACUAGCGAACGAAAAGACGGACACACUUUUUAUUAUGCUAACGUUUGAAAUUAUGAACGGUGCUUUUUUAUGAAAUUUUGAUUUUGAUUAAAACUAAAAAAUAUAUAAAUUUUUAUUGCUUUCAAGUUAUAAAAAAAUCAAACUAACCAUAUCAAUUUCAACGACAUCGACAAUAAUACAAUAUAACAAAAAAUAUAUAAUCUAAUAUUUUUUUUUUUAAUGAAACCAACAACAAUUUUAUUAUAGAAAAAGUUGUUUAAGAGUAUAUUUGAGAUAAAGAAAAAGUAAGUAUAAAUUUACUAUCCAAUUUGUUACACUUUUUAAAUGAUAAAGGAAAAAAACAAAAAAAAUGUAUAUUCAUAUCGUAUUUGUUACAUUGGUUUUAAUAUCUAAAUUUAUUCUUAUCUAUUUGUAACAUGUGUUAUUUGUAUUGAAAAUAGAGGGUAUUUUUGGAAAGAAAAAUUCAACUCAAAAGUGCUUAAAUGAGUAGUUUUGUGUAUAUAUAUGGUAUAGAUAUAGUUUUUUUUUUACAAAAAUAAAUGAUAUUCAUUCAUUCAUAUUGAUAAAGUACAUCGUUACAAUGCAAAUUUGUUAAAAACAAAAAGAAUGAACAUGCGAACAAACUCACAACAUCAAUGUUAAUAGCAUAAAACUGCAAAGUACAAAAGUCUACACCCAUGACUAUAUUCAAGUCUACGGAAUACCCAUGUCUCCGGAUCUGCAACGCUGACGACGCCAAAGUCAUUGAUUGGAUCUGCACUAAUCUAAGCUGAUCUGACAUUUCGAACCGAACAAAUACAGGAACGAAACAAGAAAGACAAACAACGUCGCACAAAAACAACGAACAAAACAAUGUCGUACUAAGACGACGAAAUCACGAAAGAAAAAUAAAAUAGAUGUGAAAAUCACUUAUUUAUUUCAAUAAACGGAAAGAGAAAAAUGAGUUAGAGUGAUGAUUUUGGAUCAAAAAUUGACCCUAAAUCACCCUCGUUGAUGGAUGAAAAAAAAAAAAAAAAAAAACUAUGAUUUUGGUGAAAGUUUACAAGAGAGAAGUGUAUAACUUGCAAAAAAUAGUAUAGAUAUAGAUUUUUUUUUUUUUUUUUAAUAAUAGUAUAGAUAUAGAUAAAAACAUUAAAUAUGCGUAAAAAAACAAUAAAUAAAAUAUAACGUGAUUGUGAUGUAGAUAUUCAAUGAUAGUGUUUUAAAAGGAAAAAACUCAAAUCGUGGUACGGAAUUGCUAUGAUCAUCUCGUUCUAUGUGUGUCAAAUCCAUUAACACAAAAAUAGACAAAUCUCAAUUAAUCUACCAUAAGAAUCGGCGAAGGCGUCUUGUACAAAAUUAGUAAUAAGAAGUUCGAUCACAAUUUUGAUGAAGAAAAAACACGUUUCAUCAAAAAAUUUGUAGGGGACGUUUGCAAUGCAUCGAAAAUUAAAAUAUUAAAUUUGUUUAAUUAAAAAUUUUUAAAGAGUGCAUUUAGAACACUCGUCAACGGUCCUCCUGUCUUAAAUUAUAAGAAAAAAUUCAAAAAAUAAAAUAAAUUUAGUCCUAUUUAUAAAAAAGUGUUACAAUUUUUAAGGUGUUGUUAAUGCUUAAAAGUCUUUUAUACCUCUCAUUUAAUGUUUGUCAUUUUAAUUUGGGUCAUAUUAACUUAUGCCCUUAGGACACAUGUUAAGCAUUAAUUUCAUUCCAUUAAUGGUAAAAAAUUAUUGAAAAAAAAUGAAUAUUAAACAAUUUGAGCAAUAAAUUAACACAAUUUUCAAUACGUAAUUUCUAUUAGUGGAAUUCAUUCUUAACAUGUGCCCUAAGGACACAAGUUAACAUUUCUUUUUAACAUUAGUGAUUGUAUUUAAUGUUUCACAACUUUCUAUAAAGAUAUAUUUGUAAAAAUAUUUUAAAAGUUUUGAGAAAUAUAGGAGAAAAUUAAAAUCAUCUAACUUCCAUGAUGAUGCUAACUUGUACACUUAGGGCACAUGAUAAAAAUUCGAUUAAUAGAAAUUAGUAUUUAAAAUUCUGUUAAUUUAUUGCUCAAAUAUUGAAUAUUAAUAUUUUGCAAUAAAUUUUUAUUUUUAGUAGAAUGCUCAAGAUCUACGCUAUGACACAAGUUAGCAUAACCUUUUUUAUUUAACUUUUUAUAAUAAGAAUUAGAGGGAGUAUUGAAGAACGAAAGAAGAGAGUGGUAUUAUAAAGUCAAAACCUAAGGCCAUUGAUUGAGAUCACUUGCCACUCUGUUUUCCUUUUUCCCAAAUUGCAGUUUCCAUAUUCUUUUUCUAGGUUGUUGAGGUUUUCCUUUCUUCUUUUUGUCUUAAUCCGUUUUCAUUUUUCUUUCUUUUAUUCUCACGUUUAAAAGCAUAUGUAAACCGCAAAAUAAAAUAUUUUAUCUUCUUAAACGUGAUUUCUCAUCUUCUUAAACAUAUUUUUUUCUUAUUGUAAUAGGAGAACACAAUGAUGAUAUGGAGAACACAACUCGGACCAAGGGGAUCUAUGCCAUUGAGGCUCUGCGACACAACUGUGGAGCUGCCUUGGGCAUGGGUGGAAUCGGUAAAUAGGUAAUGAAACCAAUUAUGCCUAUAUAUGUUUGCAUUUUGACCCUCACUUACUCUUGCUUUCUUUCAUUUUUGUUGCUUGCUAUCUAUUUUUUUAAUUCUCUUCAGCUUAUAUAAUUUUCACCCUAUCUUUUUAGAAGUAAAUGAUACUAGUUGUGUUCACCUCUUUCUUCUCAUUACUUGAUAUAAUUUUACUCUCAAAUUUUCAACUUUUUACUAUAAAAAACAAUGUCAAUUAUACUUUGUACAAGUGAAACAAGUCUUACAUCAUUUGUAGCUAGUUUGUCGUACCAUUAAAUUAAUAAAUCUCAUCAUAAAUUAAACAAGAUAUAAGGUUGUUCCCUUAUAUAUACAUAGUAUUUUUCAAUUGAGGAAGGGGAAAUUUUGCUAGUAACAGUUGCAUUAAGGGGGUCUGUUUAGGUGAUAUUUGAACUUUAUUUCCUGAAAUUAGGAAGUGAAACUCUAUCAACUGAGCUGACAUAUUUUGGACAUACUAAGAGUAUAUGUUUUGGCAUAAAUUUAUCAUAUCUACAUUUUCACCUUCUAGCAUAAUAAUUAUUGAUGGGCAGAAUAGCAAGUGUAUUAUAUCGUAGUCAAGUAGUAGUAUUUAUAAAAGUUCAUCUUCACAAAGAUUGUGUAAUUUUAACUAAACAAAAUCAAUUGUUCUUAAGAUGCGUAAAUUAGGGAAGUUGCACUAGGCAAUAAGUUCGAUUUGCAGAGAGAAAAAAAAUAAAAGAUAUAAAAUUAAAUUAACAAAAAUGAUCAGGUCAAUUUGAUUCAUUUCUUUGCAUUGUUGGUAAGUACAAAUUAUGAAUACAAUUUGAACUAAUUACUUUAAGAUAUUUGAUCAAAAUAGCUAUGUCAAUAUCUUGGUCACUAGUCCCUAAUUUCUUAGGUGAACGCAUGUCCAUUGAAAGUUUAAGAACGCGAAAUUAAGUAAACUAAUAUUCCUGUUAUGAUAGGCAAUAACUGGACAAUAUAUACUAAUUCUACUAUAAAGGCUAAUAAUUCAGAUCAAUCUAUGAAUAAUAAUAUAAACAUAGAUAAAAUUUAACAUAAGUAUAAUUGAAUGAACUAAGUAAAGCAAUCAACUGAAAUUCAUAGGAUAAUUCAAAGUUACAAGAACAAACAAUUACAUAGAAGAUCAUCUACUUAACCUAAUCAAGGAGAAUUUAGUUAGACAUGGAGAGAAGAAUAAAUAACAUGAAAAGUAAAAUAACCAUAAUGGAAUUGCUCCUCGAAUCAUCCUCCUCCCUUGGUCAUGCGGCUGCUCCCUCUUGGAGUUGCAUUAAGGAAACUCUAACUUUAUGCAACACGAUGAAACAAUUCUCAAUUUUUCAAGAUCCCAUGACGCAAUUCAAUGCGAAGUUUUACUUGAACAUUUAUCUUUGAACUCGUGACGCGCAACUCAUAGCACGUGUCACAAGUAAAAAAGAGGUUGAUCCUUCUGCUUUUUUUUUUUUCAUUCCUUACCCUAUUUUUCAUCACCAAAAGAUCCAUAACAACUAUACCCAAAAAAUCAACUUGAUAAAACCUGUAAUAAGCAUAGUACAGUUACAAAGUUGUCUAGUUUGGGAGAUUUUAACAUGUUAAAGGCCUUUUAUCCAUUUUUGCUCUUUCAUAAAUUUUGAACUGGUCAAUCCUUUAAAAAUCUCAACAAAAAUACAAAUAAACUUGCCACUUUUACCCUAAAAUGACUCUAAAAAGACACUUAAAAUCUUAUAUGACUUCAUGUCAUCAUUAAUCUUUUCCCACAUGCGUACUUUAGUUCCACGGCUAGAAAUCUAGCUAUUAGUGACUGAUUUGGACACUAUAAUUUUUCGGUCACUUUGAUGACCAAAAUAGAGACUUAAUACUCAAAUUCAUAACGAAAUAUUGUGUCUCUAAAUUACUCACAAAUUUUGAUUAGUGGCCGAAUUCAAGACAUAUGUUUGGGGACAAACAAUCGGUCGCUGUUGGGUUUAUGAUUCCAAGGCUUUUUUUGACUUUUUCGAAUAAUAAAAACAAAAAACAAAAAAGGAGCAAGUUUAUUCAGUUCCCCCUAACUUUUGGGUAAAAGGAAAAUUCUCUCAAUUUUCUAAUUUUUUUGGUGGUGGCCGGGGUUCGAACCCCGACCUUACAUAUUUUAUGUGUUGUCCAUAUCAAUUGAGCUAAACUCACGAGGACUCAAUUUUCUAAUUAAUCUUGCGACAAUGUUUCCGUCUCAUUUUUUUUAGCCCAUAAGUUUACUAUUUCCCUUCAUUUCAUCUAAUUUUUUUCUCCAAUUUCUCUGUCCCACGCUACACGCUACACACUAAAAACUUUAAUUUUUUCAACUUCUAUAUCAAUCUCAUCUCUUCGAUACUAAGAUUUUGUAACCCUAAUAUUACCCUCUAAGUUAGAACAAAAUCUAUUUUAUUCACGACACCCUAACCUAUAGUUGGGAACUUGAAAUUGAAAUCAUUAAAUGCAAUCGAAAUCCCUAUCCACAAUGAAAGAGUGGUGACUGAACAAUGAAAGAUCGACGACACGCAUAAGUUUAGAUGAUGAACAAACCGUUCACAUUGCGCGUUUCUAUUUUCAAACCUUCAUUUUCUCCUCCAAUAGACCCCCCUUUUUCUCAUAGAAGAGUCAAUUGUUCAUGUAUGUUUUUAUUUUUGACUAAAGUACACUACCCUUUCCUCAUAGAAGUUUGGAUUACACUCUCUUCCCGUUUUAUGUUAAAAUUUACACCCUCCUCCUUUAAAAAGUAAAAUUUAUACUCCCCUACCCUAUGAGAUGCUUGAAUUACACACCUCUCCCUUAAUAAUUAAAUAUGCACUACACUUUAAUUUAUUUUGACAUAAAUAAAUAUUUUUAUGAUAUAUAAUAAUUUUGAACCACCAUUUAAGUAAAAUUUAUUAAUUUCUUUACGAUUUAAUUUUCAAUGAUAAUUAAAUUUAAUUAUUUUGUUAUUAAUUUUAUAAUUAGAGUGUAAAAUUCACUAUUAAAUAACUAUACUUUAUCGACUUUAGUAAUUUUUCACAUAUUUUAAUUUUAUUUUAUGUUGUUUCAUAUUUUAUAAUAGGGUUUAAAACUAUAUGUUAAUGAAAUUGUGAAUUAAAAAUAGCAAACUAUAUGCAUUCAAACUUUGAUUAUAUAAAAUGGACAUGCCCAGAACAAAAAAAAAAGGAUCUGCAAUAUUUUUCUUUCACAUGUGUUAGAUUUUAUUUUUCUAGAUUAUUAGAAAUAAAAAAAAAUAUAUUAAGGGAGUAAAAUGUAGAUUUUAACAUAAGAAGGGAGGGAAAUGUAAUUCAAGCUACUUUUAAGGGAGGAGAGUGAAAUAUUUUCCAAUAUAUUUAUGAAUAAGUGGGAAGGGAAAUGUAUAUUUUAUCAUAAGAGGGGAUAUGAGUGUAAUUCAAAAUCUUUUAAGGAAAUGGAGUGUAAUUUACUACUUAUUUUUCUCUCAAUUUUCAAAUUAAAAAGGGUUUUUUUAGUAGUUUUAAUUUGACUUUGUAUUUGUGGGUUUGGUUUGGACAGGUUACUAGGUUAUUCGGACCAGCUAUAUUUAAAGCUAUAUAACCUCAAAAUUCAUUUUGGCAAAUUCACAAACAAUAAAUAUCUCUCAGGUACUUUUCAUGAAUGUGACUCUUUAUUUCCACUUUUUUUUUUUUUGAGCUCUUUUUAUUUUCACUUGAUGUUCAUUAUAAAUUAUAAAGCAUUCAACUUUCACAAACAUUUUUGCAAUUAAUUUACUCUUCUGUUUUUUCUUUGUUGAAAAUUUGCUGCUAUGCUUUUACGACUUUUGAUCUGUACUAGCCACAUAAUAUUAGUGAGUGGGACUUCUUUCGUAUAGAUAGAGUUUAAUGAUGGUGGGUUGACAGUCCAAAAUAAUUUUACACAAACGAUCAAUCAAAAUAUUUAUAAUCGUCACAUCAAUUAAUAUUGUUAAUUUACGUGGCAAUUUAGAACGUUUUGAUUGGUCAUGUAAUAUUUUUUAGAAUGUUUUGAUUGGUCAUGUUAAACAUCAAUAUGAGCAGUAGUGUAAAAUAGCUUCAAUUCUGCUCUUCUCCUAUCAAAAAUUGCUUACUACCAACCAAACUUUCGAAAAUAUUUAUGCGUGAGUUAACUUAUGCUGAAGGUUUAGUGUGAAUUUUUAGUGUGACUUAAAUCACGUUGAGUUUAACACAUGCGUGACUUAACUUACGUCACGGGUAUUUUUGAAAGUUUGAUUGAAAGUGAGCAAAUUUUAUUGGGAGAAUAGCAGAGUUCAAAUACCUUAUUGGGAGAAUAGCAGAGUUCAAAUUUCCCCUAAAAAACACUUCAAAAUCAUUGUUCUACCGAUCUUUCAGAUUGUUCAAUCUUUAAAAUAAAUCGAUAAAAAGAUACAUCCAUUCUAAAAAAUAACAAUAAGAUUGUAACUCCCAGUAAAUUUUGUAUACGAGUUACGGUUAGAGAGACUUUACUCCCAACAUGAAGACUUUACGAUUAGAAGAAACUAGUUCAAGUCCCUCGUGCUUGGGGAAUAUCCCUUUGUUAAUCAAGAAGAAUUUAGUCUCCAUGUUUUUUUUUUAGUCUCCAUGUUGUAUUGAUGUUGUUUGACCAAGGAUGAUAAUAUAUAUAUAUAUAUGAUAAAUUGCAUUUUUGGUCCCUAACUAUUUAAGUAAUAUCGCUUUGGUCCUUUAACUAUUUAGGUAGUAUCGCUUUGCUCCCUUAAUUAAAAUUCGAUUUAUUUUGAUCCCUUAACUUCUCUCUGUUACACAUUUUGGUCAUUUCCGUUAGUUUUAAUUCAAAAACGUUAGGUUUUCAUUUUCUUCUGGAAUUUUUCUGGAAUUCUCGUUGUUGAAGAUUGAUGGAGAUGAUAUGAAGAUUAAAAAGAGAAGAAGAAGAUGAAGAAAACCUAACGUUUUUGAAUUAAAACUAACGGAAAUGACCAAAAUGUAUAAUGGAGAGAAGUUAAGAGACAAAAAUAAAUCGAAUUUUAAUUAAGGAAUCAAAACGAUACCACCUAAAUAGUUAAGGGGCAAGAAAUGCAAUUUACCCUAAUAUAUAUUUUCUCAUCAAGGAUAAAAAUAUAUUAUUUGACGUGACCAAGGAUAAUAAAUAAUAGUACACCAUCCAUAUCUUGUGCUGUGUAUCACAUAAAUAUUUUUCAGUUAAGUUUUUCCUAACAUGUGAUACGUGCAUCACAACCUAUUCCACAAGUCAUUCAUUUCCAACUUCUUCUUGGUAUGAAAAUUGAUAAUGUUCAACUAACGUGAAGUGACGUUGUGGUGCAGUCCUUUCACAUGCAGGUGCAGUUUUGUAGUUCCUCGUAGGGGUGGACAACGGUCGGGUAUGGGUGGGUUCGGGCUCAGAAAGCUCAAUCCGAAACAAUCCACGGUUGAGAAUUCAAGGCCCAAUUUCACCCAAAUGAAGCAACGGUUAUGGCGGGUCUCGGUUAAUCGGUUUCAGCGGAUGUUAUGGGUGGGUUAUGUCGGAUGAGGCCAACAUUGGGCCGGUGAUGCAUUUUUGGCCCAUCGCUGUUUUUCAAAUAUUUUUAACCAUAAUUUCCAAAUUGGAUCAGUUCAUGAUUCCAUCCCCUCUCAAUCUAAGUUGCCAAUGAAAUACAAAUAAAUUAAGCAUAUUUUCUUGUCAUAUCAUACAAGAGUUAAGUUGGCUUAGAAAAGCCUAAUUACAUCAUUUGAUCAUUCAUGAUUCAGCCCUGUAAUAGGAAAUAAACAUGAAUUUAGUUGGUUUAAAGAAGCCCAACUACAUCAUUCAUGAUAAUUCAUCAUCCAUGUGAUAGGUAUCUGGUAUUCCUGUAUCAUAAUAUUACAAACUUCAAAUAAAUAAAAGUACGACUGUGCAAUACGUUUAGAGUUGAUAAGACUGCACAACACAACCAACAACUUAAACUUUACAAUGCCAUAAUUACAAUCAUCCAUAAUUCUACAAAUACAUUGGCAGGAGAUGCUUGCAGUUGCUGAUGCUGCAACAUGGUCACACAAAUAUAGCUGCACAACAAGAGGGACAAAAUGUUAUAAGAUAUAAAUUUUGUAUUUUUUUAUAGAUGAAGUUAGAAUCAAGACUAAAUUCAAUAAAUAAACUAAAACUAACCUUGAUUGUGUUCAAAUUAAUAUCACAUCUCAUCAUUUCAGCAAGUACAAGAGUAGCCACACCCAAGUUAACAUCAAUAAUCUGCUUGAAUAAUGAAAAUCAAAAGCAAUGUGUUACCAACACAUUUCAUCACAGUAAAAUCAUCACAAUAAAAUCAUUAUGCAUCCUACAUUAUUGUACCUUUGUGCAACAGUUUGGGAUAAAAACAGUGAACUCUCCUACAUUACCAUCACUAGAGCUGACCUCUAGAUUUAUAACUGCAUCACUGACUUGAAAAAAAGAAGAAUAAAACAAACAGUAAGGGAUUUAAAACCAUGAUAACUACAAGCAUUAUCAAGUAACACUUACUAAGCCUAACAUACCUUAGCAUAAGCAUUAAACAUCGUUUAAACAGCAGUGUAUAUGCUAUCAAUCAAGCAAAAAUGUGAGACCAUGGAGCCAAGCAAGCAAGCAUCUACAUUUCAAAAUGUCUUCAAACAUACAAGUUGGAUUAAAAUCCUUCAUCAUCCUCCAGAUGCUUCCAAAAAGAGUUGCUGUGUAUAUUCCACAAAAAGUAGAUUCUCCCAAAAAAUGCACUAAGCAAAGUCAUUAAUCAUUAUGAUUAAUGACACCAAAAAAGGGUUAAGAACCUGUAAAUAAAAACAAUAACUACAUUAAUAAAAUAAACAAUGGCAUAACUUAAUAAAAUAAAUAAUAACAUAAACACAAAUAAUGAAAAAUAAUAUAAUCACUAACACUAGUUUUUUCAAUCACAGCUCAUUGGCUGUGAUUGAGAUGAUGAUGCAUCUCCUUGUACAACAGCUGCUCUAAAACCACAAGAUGUUGAUCCAUUAGCUGAUGGUCCAUCAAAUUCUAUAUACAAAUACAAGGACCAAACAAUAUGAUUAGUUAAUGGCAUUUAAACAAGAAUAAAUGCCACACAUUUAAAAGUUAAAAUAAACAUAUUAAAUACCUGAUACAACAGUGGCAGACAGCUCAAAUUCCUCAUUUAUGUUGAGGUCUUUGAAUUGAUUCAAAGUGGGUUUCAACCAAUUUUGUGCACAGAUCAAUGCCUCUGCCAUUUGUGGGUUCAAUGAACUUCUAUAUGUAUCUAAAACUCUUCCUCCAGUGCUAAAGGCACUUUCAGAAGCCACAGUUGAAACUGGUGUAGCUAAAACAUCCCUCACCAUGGAUGACAAAACAGGAUAACGACAAGAGUUUUGUUUCCACCAAAGAAGGAUCUCAAAGUUGACAUCCUCCGCACGCUCCUCAUCUAGGUACCUUUCAAGCUCAUUUUUUUUAACUAUUGAUUCCUUCAGUUUAAGAUGCUCCUUAAAAGCUUCAGCCCUUGCCAAAUGAGAUGGGACUUCAGCUGGGAUCACAUUCUCGCUAACAUAACUAGACUCGGAUGGACUUGCAGACGGAUGACCAGAAUUAUGUUGCUGGUCAUAGGCAUCCUUGUACCAAUUGAACAGUUUGAAUAGCUGAGUAUGGAUCACAGCAAUCAGAUCAGUAAAAAAUGUAGGUUGGUCACCAUACAUGUCAUUGAAGCACCACUCCACAUAACUAAACUUGUAUCGAGGGUCAAGAAUCACACCAAAGUAAAUAAGCUUGUUGAUGUUUUCAAUUUUACCCCAAUACUUGUUGUAUUUCUGCUUCAUGUCAGACCCCAUUGAAGCUAAAACUGUGUUCAGGUUCAUGGCUGAUCUUUUCAACUCACAAUGAACAGAAGCUAGUUGGUGGAAUGCCUUGUGCAAAGACACUUCCUGAGAUGAGGAAAACUCCUUGGUAGCAUCAUAGAAAAUUUUUAGAAACCUGACAAAACACCUAACAUUCUCCCAGUCAUGAAUACUAGGAGGACCAGCUUCCCCAAAAAACUCCAAAUACCCAGAAUCUUCACCCUCCAACUUCUCAAAGGCUGGUUGGAAUUUCUCAGCACCAUCUAGCAUUAAAUACGCUGUGUUCCACCUUGUUUGGACAUCAAGACACAACAUCUUCUUACAAGUAAUUCUAGCAAACUCAAUGCACUCUUUAAAUUUUGCAGAUCUUUGGGGUGACGAUCUCACAAACCUAACAGCAUUUCUAAUUGAAGAAAUAGAGAGCUCAUUUUGUUUUAAACCAUCCCCCACCACAAGGUUUAGGAUAUGAGCGCAACAACGAAGAUGAAAGAAAGAACCAUCACCCAUUAAACCUCCCAUGUUAUUAAUUCUUUUCUUCAAGUAAGCAACAGCUACAUCAUUAGAAGAUGCAUUGUCCACUGUUAUUGUAGACACAUUCCUUAUCCCCCACUCUUUCAAAAUCUCUUCCACUUUCCUACCAAUUGUGUCACCCUUAUGAUUGGGGACUGUGCAAAAACUCAAGAUUCUUUUUUCAUACUUCCAGUCAUUGUUAAUGAAAUGGGCAGUGAGGGUCAUAUAGCUAAAGUUUUGACCAGAUGUCCAACAAUCAGUGGUUAAAGCUACCCUAACACAGUCUGAUUUGAAAUAUGUUUUUAAUCUCAGAUUUUCAUCAAGAAAGAGCUGGAAACAGUCCCUAGCCACAGUCCUCCUAGAUGGAAUGGUUAAGAGAGGUUGCAACUGUCUACAUAAGAGCUUAAAACCUUCCCCUUCAACUACUCUAAAAGCAUGUUCAUCUAGAAGUACAAAUAAAGCUAUAGCCUUCCUACAAGCUGCAGGAUUAAAUCUUUGGCUAGCAGCAACUAAAGUACCACCCUCCCCAUUAGAAAACAUAAGAGAAGCUUGUGUAGGAUCAUUUUGUGGAUUUUUAAAGCAUACUUUUGAGUGGGCCAGCAAGUUAGAAGUUCCAUGAGUUUUUGGAUCACAUAAAUAUCUUUUAUGACAGUGUAUGCAUGCAGCAGUAGGUUCUGGUUCAUCAGGUAACUUAAUGAAGUGGUCCCAGGCUGGAGAGGUUCUCCUAGGACCACCAGCAUUAGGCUUCCUCCUUUUUGCAAGACAAGGGAGAGGAGGAAGCCCGACAACAGGAACUUGAGUAGCAACUGCUACUUGUUCAGUAGGCUCAGCAACAUUAGCGCUUCCAGAUGUUAAGGUAGAAGACAAAUUUUGACUUAUACUCUCCAUUACUGAAAACAUGAAGAUUAAGUAAAAAAAACGUCAACCACAUCAACUUAAAUAUUUCAUAGCUUUAUAUUUACAUGUUCAAAAAGGAUGGAUUAAAAAACUUACCUUUUCAACAGCUUAAUCAAUAAUCACUACAAACUUAAAUACCACCAAAAAGCCAAUAACCUUCAAAAAUAAAAAGGAUAAUUGUUAGUAAAGCUUGUUUCUAGAAUUGUUUUUUACUCUCAAAUUUAUUGUUAAAUCAUUUUUGCACGAAUAUAUUUGUUGAGCUUGAAUUGAACAUUGAAAAUAAAGCAUGCUUCAGCAACUCUUUGAUUCAAGAUUAUCAUGACAGUCCUUGCGUUUACUUUGAAAGAAAACAGUAAAGAAACUACCAAAACAAAAAAGAAUUACAAAAACUUGUUUGAUUUAGUUUAGAAAAAGUUUUUUUUACAUUUCUAACAAAAAUUACAAAUUAAAACCCAGUUUGAAUUUAUUAGAAAUAAAGUAAGAACAAACCAAAAAAGUAAAAACAAACCAAAAAAGAAAAAUAAUGAACACAAGCAUAUAGUCAUAUACCUUCUAUUUCUUUAAGUUGAGCUUUGAUUUGUUCUUCAGAUAAGAGAAAAUGAACAUACAAAGUAAAAAAGAAAACUUGGUUAGAUGGAUAAGUAAACUUUGAUUUCUUCUAUGAUGAAAAAAUGCAAACCCUAGCCAACAAAAUAGUGAAUACGAUACAACACGUACCUUUGUGAAAAUCGAUCUACUAGUACCAAACAUCUGUCAAACACAUCCGCAAAAGAUGAACUUAAUUAGAUGGAUAACAGAAAAAUCAAGAGAUUAAGUGAAGAAAACGAAAACGAAAAUGAACUUACGAAAAUGAACACUUACGAAAACGAAAACGAAAACGAAAAUGGACAGACAUCUUCUUUGGGUUUCAAAAUGAAAUCGAUCGAGAGAGAGGGAGGAAGUGGUGGUCAAUAUGUUUACGACGGUGGCGCAGUGAAACUGGCUUUCCUUCAACUUCCAGAACUCGUUCUCUCUCUUUCUCUCAAUGAAUGGAUAAGUAUGAGUGUGUGUUUUGAUAUAACCCUAGUUUGUUGUCAAUGGAUCUAAAGAAUUGGGCUUAAAUUUGAUCCAAGCAAAAGUCCAGCAACUUAACAAGAAUAGGGCCUUAGGGGUAAAAAAAUACUGAUUGAAUAUUAGUUGGGCUCGGUCGGAUUUGGGUUUCGAUGGGCCUGAAAAUUCAAUCCGAGCCCGCCCAUCUAAACCCAUCUGAAACCAUUCCUUCAAUCCGCCCAACCCGGAAACCGACCCGCUACCCACCCAGACUUUCAAUUUUCCAACGGGUUUGCCGGGUUCGGGUCGGGUCGACUAUUGUUGUCCACCCCUAGUUUACUUCCUCGCAUUCAUGAAGAGAGAUUCCUCAACUUCUUUUCGAUGUGAUUGAUAAGCUUUGUAUAGGUCAAUUGAGUAUAACCAUAACCUCUAAUUCAAAUUUUAAAUACAAUUAAUUCAGGCAUGUCUAGAGACCAGAACCUUCUCUUUUACGAAAGAGCAAUGAUAUUUGUAUAUGUAUUUAAUGAUAAUUUUAAUGAUAACUUUGUUUUUCAUUUUUUUGAUUGGUCAAAAACAAUGAAAAGAGAAGAAAAAAAAAAUAACAUCAUGUGAGUAUGAGAGAAAAAAUUGUUAAAAAGUUAUAGCAAAAUGAUUAUACCAAUAUCAUUUCUCAUUACGAAAUUAACAAAAGUAAUUAAAAAUAUCUCUUAAAAAGACAUUCAUUCAAAUGGACAGAAAAUACAUCAAAUUUUGAUACAAAAUUCAAUAUCACUAAAAAUGCACAUGCUCUAUGAAUUUGCGAACAAAGUUACAAAUAUGACCAAAUUAUGUUGUCGGGAAUAUCCAAUAUCCCUCUAAAUAUGUACUAAUAGUUAAUUAAAUCAUUAGUUAAAUCUACACUGAAUCAUAACUAAUAUGUUGAUCUAAACCGAACAAACAUCAUGACAAAACAGAAAAGCAAACAACACCGCAUCAAAACGACGAAAAAACCAAAUAUUUCUCUAAGACAACAAAAUCAGAAAAGGAAAAAUUAAACAUACAUGAAUCCACUUACUUCCUCCGUCUCACAAUUAUUGUCUAUUUAGCAUUUUUUUUUCUUUUUCUCAAAAUAACUGUCACUUUACAAUACCAAUGUAACAUUUAUUAUUUUUUUCACUAUUAUACACUUAUUUAUUGAAUUUCAUCUAACAUAACUACAAUUAAUAAGAGUGUUUUAGUAAAUGUCACCAAUUUUUCAAUUGAAAUCAACACAAUUAAUCAUUUCAUUAAUAAUCGUGCACAAAUCUUAAACGACUAAUAUUGUGAGACGGAUGGAGUAGAUAAAUGGAAUAACUCCACUUGUACACUAUAUACAUAUCACACAAUACGACCAUGUUUUUCUAUAUAUAUAUAUAUAUAUUUGUCAAGUAAUUUAAUGGUUAGAACUCGCACGUUUAAAUAUGGAUAUACACAUACCCCGUAUUUAAUAUGCAAUAUUCAUAGCAACUCAGAUAAAUUCAUGAGGAUAAAAAUUAUUAAAAUAAAAUCCAAAUUCUUUAAAAAUAAUAAUAAUUCUAAAUGUGAUUGCAGUUUGUAAAAUUGAUGUGAGAGGUACGGCAAGUGACUUUAUUCAUUACCUAAAGCAGUGCAACGAGGGAUAGGGUGAAGUAGAAGGGAAAUGACGCCCAGACAUUUAACAUGGCCCUAUGAAGGGACAUCUAGGGGAAAUAAUAGAAUUCUGUUUUUUAUCUAAAUGGUUUCGCUUAUUUUCAAAGUAAAUGUUCAGAAUAUUCGUAUGUAUGUUAACUCACGCUAAUGCAAAUGUCAAAGUAAGUUAACAUACGCUGCGUGAGUUAUUUUCACCCAUAUCCAUACUAUGGACAACAGAGAUCACAAAUCCUUAUUAUAAGUCACCACACCACACCACACCACACCACACGUAAAUGAUGCUUAAAAAGUGGAAUAUGGGUGAAAGAAACCAGAGUUGGACUUCACUCAACUCACGCUGAGAUUUCAGUGUUUUUUUUUUUUUUUUGGAUUGACUUAAUUCACACAGCGUAUGUUAAUUUACGUUGACAUUUGCACUAUUGUGAGUUAACAUAUGUAGCAUAAAUUAAUAUAUGUAGGGAUAUUUUAGACAUUUAUUUUGGAAAUGAGCGAAAUCAUUUAAAGAAUGAGCAAAAUUCAAAAUAAUAAACUAUUAAAAACUCAAUCAAAUAAAGUGGAAGAAUCGAGGUUGGAACGUCAACCAUAACAUCCAACCUUACAAUUUUAAUAUUUCUAUCCAUAUAUUUAAAAUUUGUAAAUAAAACAUAAAACAAAAAAAAAAAAAAUGAAAACAUAUCGCUUUUUUUAAUAUUUCUAUCCAUAUAAUUGAGUGAUGUGUAUGCGUAAGUUCUGUAUAUGAUCUCCAAAUUAAAAAUCUCUAUUGUGGAUGCCCUUACGAGUACAACAAAAAAAUUGACAAGAGAUAUGCAAGUUGCCCAUAACUUUAAUUUGCAAGAUUCCCAUGGUGAUAGAUUAUACGUGUGGACAAAAAGCCAAAAUCCGUCCGAAACCAGUAAAUCCGAGUGUCAAAACGGAUAAACGGGUGGGUUUAUACGAAUCAUCGGAUUUUCAAGUGAGCUUUUACGGUUUCUAGCGAGUUUAAAAGGAUGGGCUCAGAUGUCCAUAAUACAUCCAUUAAAAACCGAAUUCGACCAUCAUGCAUUGUCCAUAUUAUAUUAUGAGAAAUGAUAUUUGUACAACUAUUUUUUAACAACUUUCUCUCUCAUACCCACAUUAAAUUUUUACUUUCUUUCUCUAUUGCUUUAACUUUUAUGUCAAUACAUCAUUUCUUUGUAAAUUAUAGUAUCUCAAAAGUUGUGAUUAAAAUGCUCGUUCAAAUAACACAACUCUUAUAUUAUAUAGUAGUUCAUUCAAAUGCUAUAUUAUGUGUUCAGGUUUGACUAGACAACUCAAACUUUGUCAUUAGAGCACCAUUAUCGGUUGUUUUGAGCAAGUAUCUUCACAAUAACCAAGGCUAAUGUGUCAGGUUCCAUGGAUAAUUGGCAUAAAAGUUGGGUAGUAUUGUUUGGCAUGGUAGCAAUGCAUUACCACGGUGGCUUUAGUUGAGUUGCAAUAAAAUAAUACUAUAUAGAAUCAAAAUAUGAUAAAGCAAUACAAUGUAAUUAAUUUAUGGACCCAUUUAAAGUACAUAUUGUAAGAUAAGUGAGACCUAUUUUAGAGUUUUUGAGGAGUGGUAUGAAUAUUUAGAAAAUAUAGUUGAGUGGUUAUGGUAUGGAUGUGGGUGCUCUUAGUAAUAAAAUACUACUACUACACUCUAGAAAAAAAGUAACGAUCGCAUCUCAUUGAAAAUUGCUUAUUAUCAAGACAUGAAGUUACAAGAACAAACUUUAAUUUUCAUUGAGUCUAAGUAUUUACACUCCUCUCUCUCUCAAGAGCCCAGUUAAGGUCUUCACCUUACACUCUCUUUUCCUCUCUUAUCUCUUGAUCUGAAACUAUGGAAAGAGUUGUCCUCAAAGCUUUGUGCAGCACCUAUCAUUUUUAGAUACCAUUUCCAGCCAUUGUCAUCAGCUUUCAUGUUUACUAUAAAUUAGAUCUAUUUAAUUUAUAUUUUUCUCUUAAGUUCUACUAUUUGAAACAAAAUAAUUGUUUCUCAUCCCUAUUUUUCCUACUCUCAACUUAUUUUUAUGUUUUAUGUUCUUAAUGAAUUAAUGAUCAUGGAGAUGAUGAUCCAGUGAAGAACCCGAACAAAUGUUAAUCUUCCAAACAGUGAGUGCUUCCUAACAUAAUAUUUUGGCUCUUUGAUCCACCCAGUACUAUGAAAAUCACUAACACACAUUUUUUCCAACCCAAACAUCAAAUAUCACAACAAAACCUUCUCAUUUACUAAUAAAAACAGAGUUUACGGAAAACCAAGAACAAAAAAGCUAUUAAACACAUAUUUCUAACGAAGAUCAACCCUUCUUAAUGUAUUUUAUCAAGAAAUUAAGGUAUAUAUAUACAUACAUACACCAUUGUGUGCUUAGUAUAGCAGCCAUGUAACAUGUCUAUACAGAGGUACACACAGGUCAUGAAUGAAGCAUUUGUGUGGUCAUUGUAGUAUCUUCUUAUACGUGAUUUGUCUUCUUUAACAUUUUUCUCAAUUGUGGCUGCAGUAGGAGAUGAUGCGUAGGAACCUCGGCGGAGAACACGGCGACGUUCAAGGUGUGCUAUGGCGACACAAAUGUGGAGCUUACAGUUGGGCAUGGGUGGAAUCGGUAAUAUAAAGCAACCUAUAUUUGCAUUUUGUUCUUCACUUGCUCUUGCUUUCUUUUCUUGAAUUGUCCUCUAUUUUUCUAUUAUAUUCAUUGCUUACAUUUUUUUAGAAUUGUUAUUGACACAUUGAAAAAGGCUGAGGCACACGAGUAAUUUACGUUUUUACCCCCUCGACAGUCGGUGGUUAACUGCCGAGGAAUAUGUUUCAUCAGAUGAAACAGUCACCUGCUCCCCCUACAUACUAUUUUUAUCAUCAACUUCAAUACCACCUCCAUUCAAUCCCCAAAUUCAAUAUUUUUUUCAUCAAAUCUUGAUCCAAAAUCAUUCCAGCAUCAAGCAUAGGAGGUAUCAACACACUUUUGACGUAAAAAAAACAGGUAUUGAGCAUUUUAAUCCGUUCAUUUUUUGGUUUCGUUAUGGGUAUCUACGUCAGUUACGUAGAACUCUGUCAUGGGAAACCUCGGCAGUUAACUGCAGAGGAAAACUUCGGUAGUCUAGUGCCGAGGAAAACCUCGGUAGUAAGGUGUCGAGAAACUCUUGUGAAAAAUUUCCACAACGAAAAAAUGGCAGCUACUGCUAGUUUUUUUUUUUUUUAAUUCAUUAUGACAUUGAUGUUUAUGCAUUAGUUAGUUGUUAAUUCAUAUUUAUAUGUUGUUUAAUUAUAGUAAUGGUAGAGAACGCGGAAGAUGUUCCAGGAGAAACAAAAACAAAUUUUGUCGAAUUUUCUGGAGAUGUCAAACCGCCUAAGGUUGAAGCGAAACCAAACAUUGAUUGAGCUUCCGUCCAUGUUGAAGCUUCAAAGUAAAUUGGCGGCUCCGGUGUCCUCCCACUUCAAGCCCACGAGGUUGACACGACUAGGUUUUUUUCGGACGACGUUAAGUCGAAAGAUAGAGAAGAAUUGCUUGAGUGGGCGCGUCGUCAAGCAAAUAAGGCGGGAUUUACAAUUGUUACACAAAGAUCAAGCUUGAUCAAUCCAAUGUUCCGCCUAGUGUGUGAAAGGAGUGGAGCUCACAAAGUGCGGAAAAAAACCCGAAGCAUGUGAGAACGGGCUCACGUAAAAGUGGAUGCUUGUUCAUGAUUAGUGGAUAUCAAAGUAAGCAAACAAAGGAAUGGGGAUUGAACAUUCUUAAUGGAGUUUGCAACCAUGCGAUGGAGCCGGCUUUAGAAAGACACAUUCUUGCCGGUAGACUAAAGGAGGACGACAAGAAGAUUGUACGUGACUUGACCAAGAGCAAGAUGCUUCCAAGAAAUAUUUUGAUACAUUUGAAGAACAAAAGACCACAUUGCAUGACAAAUGUGAAGCAAGUGUACAAUGAACGUCAACAAAUAUGGAAUGCAAAUAGAGGUGACAAGAAGUCGUUGCAAUAUCUAAUCUCAAAGUUGGAGGAGCACAACUAUACUUAUUACUAAAGAGCACAAAGUGAAAGUACUACAAUCGAAGAUAUCUUUUGGGCUCAUCCAACAUCUGUUAAGUUGUUUAACAAUUUUCCAACGGUUUUGGUUAUGGACUCCACCUACAAAACCAACAUGUACAUGAUGCCAAUGUUUGAGGUAGUUGGGGUCACUUCGACCGAUUUGACAUAUUCGGUUGGGUUUGGAUUUGUGACACAUGAGAAAGAGGAAAACUUUGUUUGGUUUUUAAAAAAUGUUGCGUAAACUUCUUACGUUCAGAUGAAUAUGCCUAAGGUGAUUGUGACCGACAGGGAUAUGUCUUUGAUGAAAGCGGUUGCAAAUGUUUUCCUCGAAAGUUAUGCAAUGAAUUAUUACUUUCAUGUGCAAGCAAAUGUUAAACAAAGGUGCGUCUUAGAUUGUAAAUAUCCUUUGGGAAAAAAUGAUGGGAAAGAGGUGAGAAACCACGAUGUUGUCAAGAAGAUAAUUGGGCAUGGAAAGCUAUGGUUGAAUCGGCCACUCAAGAGUUAUAUGCAAAUGCAUUAGUGGAGUUCCAAUAUUCAUGUAGUGAUUUCUCACUUUUAAAAAAUUAUGUCAUGACCACCUUGAAUGAAGUGAAUGACAAAAUUGUGAGGGCAUGGACAGACUGUGUGAUGCAUCUUGGUUGCAGGACCACCAACAGGGUCGAAUCGGCUCAUGCUUUAUUGAAGAAAUAUUUGGACAAUAGUAUGGGUGAUUUGUGUACUUGUUGGGAGAAAAUACAUGACAUGUUGUUGCUUCAUUUCACUGCGAUACAAACAACCAUUGCAAUGUUCCAAAGCAUAUCUAGACACAUGACCACCUUACCCGGAGUACAGAGUGACAUCUUUGAAUCUAUGUUCCAACAUGCUAACGCUCUGACUAAUGGUUGUUUGUAUCGCAGUGAACUGAAGCAACAACAUGUCAUGUAUUUUCUCCCAACAAGUACCCAAAUCACUCACACUAUUGACCAAAUACUUCUUCAAUAAAGCAUGAGCCGAUUCGACCCUGCUGGUGGUCCUGCAACCAAGAUGCAUCACAUGGUCUGUCCAUGCCCUCAAAAUUUUGUCCUUCACUUCAUUCAAGGUGGUCAUGUCAUAAUUUUUGAAAAGUGGGAAAUCACUACAUGAAUCUUGAAACUCCACUAAUGCAUUUGCAUAUAACUCUUGAGUGGGCGAUUCAACCAUAGCUUUCCAUGCCCUCAUUAUCUUCUUGACAACAUCGCGAUUACUCACCUCUUUCCCAUCCUUUUUUCCCAAAGGAUAUUUACAAUCUAAGACGCACAUUUGUUUAACAUUUGCUUGCACAUGAAAGUAACAAUUCAUUGCAUAACUUUCGGGGAAAACAUUUGCAACCGCUUUCAUCAAAGACAUAUCCCUGUCGGUCACAAUCACCUUAGGCAUAUUCAUCAUUGACGUAAGAAGUUUACGCAACAUUUUUAAAACCCAAACAAAGUUUUCCUCUUUCUCAUGUAUCACAAAUCCAAACCCAACCGAAUAUGUCAAAUCGAUCGAAGUGACCCUAACUACCUCAAACAUUGACAUCAUGUACAUGUUGGUUUUGUAGGUGGAGUCCAUAACCAAAACCGUUCGAAAAUUGUUAAACAACUUAACAGACGUUGGAAGAGCCCAAAAGAUAUCUUCGAUUGUAGUACUUUCACUUUGUGUUCUUGAGUAAUAAGUAUAGUUGUGCUCCUCCAACUUUGAGAUUAGAUAUUGCAACGGCUUCUUGUCACCUUUGCCUUCCAUAUUUGUUGACGUUCAUUGUACACUUGCUUCACAUUUGUCAUGCAAUGUGGUCUUUUGUUCUUCAAAUGUAUCAAAAUAUUUCUUGGAAGCAUCUUGCUCUUGGUCAAGUCACGUACAAUCUUCUUGUCGUCAUCCUUUAGUCUGCUGGCAAGAAUGUGUCCUUCUAAAGUCGGCUCCAUCGCAUGGUUGGGAACUCCAUUAAGAAUGUUCAAUCCCCAUUCCUUUGUUUGCUUACUUUGAUAUCCACUAAUCAUGAACAAGCAUCCACAUUUUCUUGAGCCCGUUCUCGGAUGCUUUGGUUUUUUUUCGGCACUUUGUGAGCUCCACUCCUUUAACACACUAGGCGGAACAUUAGAUUGAUCAAGCUUGAUCUUUGUGUAACAAUUGUAAAUCCCGCCUUAUUUGCUUGACGACGCGCCCACUCAAGCAAUUCUUCUCUAUCUUUCGACUUAACGUCGCCCGAAAAAACCUAGCCGUGUCAACCUCGUGGCCUUGAAGUGGGAGGACACCGGAGCCGCCAACUUACUUUGAAGCUUCAACAUGGACGGAAGCUCCAUCAAUACCUUAGGCGGUUUGACAUCUCCGGAAUAUUCGACAAAAUUUGGUUUUGUCUCUCCCGGAACAUCUUCUGCGUUCUCUACCAUUACUAUAAUUAAACAACAUAUAAAUAUGAAUUAACAACUAACUAAUGCAUAAACAUCAAUGCCAGAAUGAAUUAAAACAAAAGAAAAAAAAUUUAAAAACUGGCAGUAGCUGUCAUUUUUUCGUUGUGAAAAUUUUUCACAAGAGUUCCUCAGCACCUUACUACUGAGGUUUUCCUCGGCACUAGACAACCGAAGUUUUCCUCGGCAGUUAACUGCCUAGGUUUCCCAUGACAGAGUUCUACAACUGAUGUAGAUACCCAUAACAAAACCAAAAAUGAACGGAUUAAAAUGCUCAAUAGCUAUUUUUUUACGUCAAAAGUGUAUUGAUACCUCCUAUGCUUGAAUGAUUUUGGAUCAAGAUUUGAUGAAAAAAAAUAUUGGAUUUGGGGAUUGAAUGGAGGUGAUGUUGAAGUUGAUGAUGAAAAUAGUAUGUAGGGGGAGCAGGUGACUGUUUCAUCUGAUGAAGCAUAUUCCUCGGCAGUUAACUACCGAUAAUUUCCUCAGCAGUUAACUGCAGCCGGUUUUUGAAAUCGUCGACAGUUAACUGCCGAGGGAGGAAAAACGUAAAUUACUCGUGUGCCUCAACCUUAUGCAAUGUGUCAACAACAAUUCUCAAAAUAUAAUGUUUAAAUAAGUAAAAUGUUAGGUGAUUUUGCGAUUUUGUUUGGGCAGUAGUAGGAGUAACGGGGGUUGGUGCUCAAUUCUUGGUAAUUAAUUUUGUGGGUUGGCAUUUGAAGAAAUACAGGUUUCAAAAUCAGUGUAUUCCAAAUCUAUUUUUCAAUAUUUUUGGGAUGCAGAUGACUAUAAUCCAACACACUCAACAGCCAACACACCACAAUUUUUUUGAAGCACAACCAAUGCAUUCAAUGAAUUUUGAACUUGUAGGGUAUUGCAUUGACCACGUGUAUGCCCUCCAAUAACCUUAAACCACACAACAUGUUUUCGUCCAAUAACCUUAAACCACACAGCAUAAGAAGUUUGUCAUGUCCCCAUCUUACGCAAAAAAUGCAGUAGACAACACAAUAUUGUCCAUCAAAUAAAAACAUAGAUUCGAUUAUUGAGAUAAUACAUUUGUAAGAAAAUCUCACGUAGGCACGUGAAUGAGUAAAAAAAAUAACGAAGAUCAAUUUUAAAAGUAAGAUACAAUUUAAAACUUAGAGUUGAUAUGAGAGGUGUUAACCACCGAAAAAAGAUAGAAACAUAUAAUCGUCAGUUGAUGAAAUUUAGAAACAAUAUUUAAACUUGAUAUUAAGAGAUUAAUAAUAAUAAAAAAAAUGAUAUGACAAAAGUCCGUUUGUAUAAAGCUUAAAAUUGAAAAUGUAAAUAAUACUUCUUAUUUUAAUCCGAUAUCUUUAGUACUUAGUUAAUUAACUUCUUAAAGAUUUUCAGAUAAAUCCUAAUAUUUUAACUCUGACAUCUUCAGUACUUAGUUAAUUUUUUAAAGAUGUAAACCCUAAUACUUUAACUCCGCCAUCUUCAGUACUUAGUUAAUUUCUUAAAGAUCUUCAGGUAAACUCUAAUAAUUUAAUCCGACAUCUUCAGUAUUUAGUUAACUUCUUAAAGAUCUUGAGGUAAACCCUAAUACUUUAAUCCGACAUCUUCGGUACUUAGUUAACUUCUUAAAGAUCUUCAGAUAAACCCUAAUACUUUUUAUCCGACCUUUUUUUAAAAAUUUAAUGAUCAUCAAUGUUUUUAUCUUGUUAGAACUCUUAUAGUUUACCAGACCUUUUUGAAAAUUUAGUGACAUGUAUCAAUUUUAAAUUAAUCAAAUGUAUGUUUAAACAAUUUUUUUUUUUUUUUACCAAUUUUAAUGGUAACAUUAUGUCUAUUUUACGGUCUAAUUUUUAUUCACACAAGUGCUUAGAUCUUGGGACAUGAGAGGGGGUAUAAUACUCCCUCCGUCCCUAUGCUGUUGCCAAUUUUAAUCACAACGUCUUUUCAUGGAAAUUGUUUUGUUUUGAGUUCACUUCCCCAAUACUACAUCGUCACAUGAUGAAGUGGUAGCUCUGACCUCCUCUUAAUUUAUAAGGCCAUGUACAAUGGGAAAAAAAUUUCAAUAUCCUUCAACACCCACUUUUUCAAUUCCCAACACUCCACAUCAUUUUCUCUCUCAUAAUUCAACACCUAUUUAAUUUUUACCUCUCCAAUAGUUUUUUCAUUCAACACCCUACCCCACCACCUUUUAUUUCUUACUUAUUUAAUUUUAUAUUUUUGUUUUUAUAAUUACCUAAAAUUAUCGAUUAUAAUUAAAUUAAAAUAAUACAAUUAACUAUUAAUUUUUGAGUUUUUUUGGAAAAACAAAAUUUUGUAAAAUAAUUUCUUUUUAUUUUCUUAACUUAAAAUGCGACACACAAAUAACUUAAAAUGCAAGACAACAAACUAAACACGCGACACACAAAUAACUUAAAGACAACAAACUAAGCAUACAACACACAAGUAAUUUAUUUAGUACGAUACAAAUCAUCUUCAAUCACUAUAGAUUCCAAACUUUGGGUGUUAAAUUGAUUAUUAUUGGGAUCCAUUUCACUAAACAAAGACUAAAACUUCAAAAGAAAUGCUAAUUAUAAGAUUAAGAGAGUGAAAAAUAUGAUUUUUUUUUGUGUCCAAAUCAAAUGAUCUAAGUCUAUAGAGAUAAAAAAUUAGGAAUUUUGGUGAAAAAAAUAAAAAAUAAAAAAUUCAUUUGCAAUGAAAUAAUUGAAUCCAAAUUAUUAAGAAGAUAAAAAUCGAGCCAGCCAAUCAGAUUGAGCCACGUAUCCUGCAUUAUCCAAAAAAACAUUUCUCUUUCCGCGUCUUCUUGUCUGUGACGCGCCCUAUCGGCGCGUGUGCUGCACGCGCUCUGCCUGACAAAUGGAAACGCGUCACGUGGCCCCCUCAAUUAGAUUUUCAACUAGUUGAAACCAUUCAUCAUCUCUCUCCUCUUUCCUCAUAUUCAACAAAUUUUUCCAAUAAUUUCAACUAUUGAAUUUUGCUUUCAAUAACCCCGUUGCAUAUGGUCUAAAGACCAGAAAAAUGCAAUCAAAAAGUAACACAAGUGUUUAUUUGAUGGUUAAUGGCUACACGUUUAUCAAAACGUCUUCAAAGCCGUUGAUAAAAAAACUCACGGUUGAUGAUUCAACCCUUCACCUCUCCCAUUCUUUAUUCACAAAUAAAUCACCUCGGCAUACUACACAACCCAUAAUGAUCACAAAAACUGUACACAGAGGCUUGCAUUAAAUGCAAUGCACCACCGUUCAAAUCAGUCCCAACACAAUUUUACCAAAUAUAACAGUGAUAUACUAGCUUUGGCUUAAUGAUGUGAUUAGUCCUUGCAAUUAGACGUAAUUUAAAAAUUCGUCCAUGUAAUUGCUAAUCUUGGCAAUUUAGCCUUGCAAUUGUUAAUCAUUUAAAAUUUGGUCCUUGGACCAACUUAAUCACUGCCUCGUCACUAAUUUGAUGACGUGGCAAUCACUGUCACACAUGAAAUUCCAAUUUUGCCCUUAAGAAGAGGACAAAAUAUUGAAGAAAGAAUUAGAAACCCAGGGGUAAAUUUGGAAUUUCAUGUGGCGUGGCAGUGAUUAAGUGGGGAGAGGGACGAAAUUUUAAAUGAUUAAUAAUUGCAAGGCUAAAUUGCGAGGAUUAGCAAUUACAAGGAUGAAUUUUUAAACGACGCCUAAUUGCAAGGACUAAUCACAUCAUUAAGCCACUAGCUUUUUGUUAUAUGACUAUGUCCACACAAAUUUAUAAAUAAUUAUAAUAUUACAUGUCUAACCAAAUUAUAUUUUAUAAGUGAUAUACACCUUUCGGUCACUAUUAUAAGCAAAAAAACCAUAUUUUAAGUUCAUUCAUUAAAUGUUGUAUGUAACCUAAAUAUAGACCACAUACAACAUUUAAUGAAUGAACCUAGAAAAUGAAGUUUUGCUUAUAAUAGUGAUCGGAGAGUGUAGCUUUUUUAUUAUAUUACAUGUCUAACCUUGGUUAUGAUGAUGUAUUCCGUGAUGAUUACCAAAUGUAUGUAAAUGUUGAAAUUUAACCUUUUCAUUUUUUUCCACUAAAAUUUAUUAGACUUUUUGCACUAUACACAUAUAUAUUGACUAUUAAUUUGUUCAUAUAUUGUAGCAAAAAUGGGCUAGUUUUUUCUAUGGGAAAUGCCAUUGCCAUUUUUUUAAGAUUGGAAUUUCAAUGUCUUGCCCCUGGUGGCUAUGUUGGACGGCAGGUAAGGAGUAUUUGUAUAAGUUUUUGGUUUGCUGGCAAAUAAUAUUUUAAAUGCAGUAUAGUCUAAAUUAUACUGCAAUAUGUGAUGUAUAUACAUAUAGAUCAUCAUGAUGAUGGCCAUGAAGAUUACUUGAGUUUAAAAGCUUACUGUUUAAGAUCUUUAAAACUGGUAUGGACCCAACCUGCUGCAAAUUGUAGAUUAUAUAUAGCUACAACACAAUAACUGUUAUUUGCAAAAAAUCAAUUGUUAUUAACACGUAAAAACAAUUGUCAUUCUUAAUUGUAUAGAUAUAUGUCCCUAUAGUGGAUGAAAUAGGGCACUGGUUUCUAAUGGUGGUUGCUUGAGAGGAUUGAAAAGUUUAUCUCCUAGACUCCCACUUGGUAGCUACGAAGGGUCUUCUUAAAAAAAUUGUAAGUGAAACUACAAUUUACAGCUAUUUAUGUAAAGUCAAUGAAACGCAAAUUACUUACAUCCUUAUAACUGUUAUUAUAGGCUGGAGUUCUCUCCCAUAUGGUGCUAUCCAUUUAUGAGGCAGAGGUACCAUUCUGUUUGUUUCCUGAUUUUGAUUUUUGGGAGAUUGUUGAACUACAUCUGCCACAAAUUAUGCAGAAGAACUUAUGGUGCUUGUUGUAACCUACACUAACCAAUAAUGAUAGCUAUUUAACCAAUACAAACAAAACUCACCCUUUUAUAAUAAAAAAAAUUAUAAAAAAAUUUAUGUGAGUUGAGCUCCAGAAGUUCAUCAGUCGAUCAAAACAUAAAGAACACUUACAGAAGUAUUUUUAAAAAAUCUUUGAUUUCAUUGAACAUUGAUAAAAAAAAUAUUUUAAUAAUGUUAGCACGAGAAAUAAUAAUUUGUUGAUCUUAAACUCGAAUUUUUAAAAAUGAAAAAGAGGUUUGCAAAUAUAUAUAUAUAUAUAUAUAUAUACACAUUAAGAGUAAUGUACUUCCUUGUUGCUUUGAGAUUCCAUGAUGGAUCAAUAGUAGUACUUAACUGUUACAUGCAUCCAUACACGCUAAUGUUUAAAUGAGGUUGGUUUGUAAUAAAUGCAUAUAUAUCAACCAUGUAGCAAACCCUAUUAUUUGUUCUUAAUAAUAAAUUGCUUUAUAAAUGCUGAAACUUACCACUACUCAUUCAUUUUAAACCCCAUCAACAACUUAUAACGUUCACUAAACUCCCUUUAAGAAAUGUUCUUCCAAACAAUAAGUGUUUAUCACAAAGAAUAUUUUGUUGUUUUUAUGGUCAUCCUUUGUUAAAGUUUUAAAAACAUUGGCUCUUUGAUCCAUCCAACACUCUAAAAAUCACUAACACACAUUUUUUUCCACUUCCAAUAUCACCAUCUCAAGAAAACCUUCUCAUAUACUAACAAGAACCUCAUUUGCCAAAGAAGAUUUUCCCCGCAAUUCACUCUUUCAUGUAUUUUAUCAAGAAAUUAAGGUAUAUAUAUACACCAUUAUGUGCUUAUAGUAUAGCAGCCAUGUAACAUGUCUAUAUAGAGUCACGUACACACGUCAUGAAUGAAGCAUUUGUGCGAUCAUUGUAGUAUCUUCUUAUACAUGAUUUGUCUUCUUCUUUAACAUUUUUCUCAAUUGUGGCUGCAGUAGGAGAUGGUGCACAUGAACCUCGACAACGUUUGAGGUGUGCCACGGCGACACAAAUGUGGAGUUUAUUUGGGCUUGGGUGGAAUCGGUAAAUAGGUAAUAUAAAGCAACCUAUAUUUGCAUUUUGUUCUUCACUUGCUCUUGCUUUCUUUUCUUGGUUUGUUCUCUAUUUUUCUAUUCUAUUCAUUACUUCAUUUUUUUUUCAUCUUAUCUUUUUGGUGGUAAAUUUUUGUGUUCACCUCUUUACUUGAUUUUUUUUAAAAGCCAAGCAUCUCUUUACUUUAUAUAAUUUUACUCAAACUUUUAACUUUUUACUAUGAACAUUUUGUCAAAAAAAAAAAAACUUUUUACUAUGACCGCAAAAUACAAUUUUUAAAUAGAUAAAAUGUUAGUAGGAGUAACGGGGUUUGGUGCUCAAGUCUUUGGAUUUAAUUUUGUUGGUUGGCAUUUGAAGAAAUACAGGUUUCAAAAUAGUGGGAUCCAAAUAUAUUUUUUCAAUAUUUUUGUGAUGCAGAUGACUAUCUCAUUCUUUAUAAUAAGAUUUCACUAUUUUUAUCAAACAUACACACCUUAAAUCUUCUUCUUUAUGUAAGAUUUCACUCUCCUGCAAACACUCAUUUCCAGAUAACUGUUUUUCCUUUGAUGUAUGAGAGUUUCCUUAAUAAUUUAUUAUUGUAACCCAAUUUUAAUAAUUUCUAUUUUAUUUUUUAUUUUUUAUUUUUGGUCCAUUAAAAUUUUGUUAUAGCUUAAGAGGCAGUUAUUAUUUGGUCAAGACAAAAGGCAAGUUGUACAAAUAUAUAAAUCACCGAAUUUGUUGGUAAACCAAUCUAGAAUUUUUGAGAUUGUAUAAAUUUACACGAUUGACAGAGAGUAAUUUAAUUUCAAAUGCAUAAAAGAACCUUUCAACUGAUAUAAAAUUAUACGAUUGAAAACCAAGUUACUUGGACUCCACGUACUGGGGAAUAUCGGGUUUGAUUUCGGGAGGGACAACGCUUACCUAGUGCGCACGCCUUUAUGCACGAGACGGAUUAGUCGUCUACCUUUGAUGGGUCAGAAACUGGUGCGAAAGCCAAAAAAAAAUUAUAUGAUUGAAAAUCACUACAAGAAUUCCCCAAUUUACUAACCAAUUCAAAAUGACAUUAGUGAGGGAUUUAGACCCUUAAUAAUUACUGGCGGAAUAAACCUUCAAUAGCAUCCAAAAAACCCUCAAUAACGUUACUGACGGCAAAUUCCCUCAAUAAUUCAGUGAGUUACAUUACUGACGGAUAAAUCCGUCAGUAAUAUUAAUAAAGAACCUACGAAUUAUUACUGCGCGGAAAGAUUCCGCCAAUAACGUAAUCGUACAAGGCAUUGCAUUACUGAGGGAUAUAAAUCCGUCAGUAAUAGUAUAACGGAUUAAAUAAUCCGCCGGUAAUGCGAAUAAUCUGCCAGUAACACAGUUACUUGACUAUCCUAUUGGCUUUCACUCAAUAAUUCUAUUUGGGUUGUUGGUGUUUUCACUGUUGCGUUUUUAUGGCUUUUGUUUUAGAGCAGUUUAGAUGUUUGGUUUGUAAUGUAUUGUGAACACCACUGAUUGUAUAUCAAGUGUUCAACUCAAACAUAUUUCAUUGUAUUUUUGUUUGAUCAGAAGACUCUUGCCUGCGUGCUUGAGCAUUAGAAGACUCUUGCUUAGUGCUUGAGCAUUGGAAGACUCUUGCGUGUGUGUUUGAGCAUUUUUGAGAAGUCUCAUACUUAGAGAGUAUUGAGCAUUUGUAAUCUUUGUGAUUAUAGUGAAAUCUGCUUGGAAGUGUAAGGGGGACUGGACUACUUAGAAACAAUGCUCAAGCACGCAGGCAAGAGUCUUCUGAUCAAACAAAAAUACAAUGAAAUAUGUUUGAGUUGAACACUUGAUAUACAAUCAGUGGUGUUCACAAUACAUUACAAUAAAGACUCUAGACUUUUGAAUUUCUAAGAUGUAUCAAAUCAGUGCAGAAAUUCAGUGUGCUUUGUAGAAUCAAAUUGACAGAGUUUUGGCGCUUUUUAACUUGUAUAUCUCUAUCUACAAUCUUCAAGUCUUCACUCCUUUAUAUAGAGGCGUGAAAGAGACGUUGAGAGGAUUAGCACGUCUAAAGAGUCGUUGAGUUCCUUUGAUCAUCCACCAGUAAUCCUUUGCCUGAUUUGGGUGUAGUCCUUUGAAGAAUUAGCUUCAAAUUCAUUCCCAUCUUGAAGGCACAAAU